Molecule: long non-coding RNA, 582 nt
Filed under: Mustela putorius furo (domestic ferret)
Lineage: Eukaryota; Metazoa; Chordata; Mammalia; Carnivora; Mustelidae
Description: lncRNA (ENSMPUG00000028404.1)
Source: RNAcentral
GAGAUGAUGAGACUGCCCAAUGGAAGGAACCUUUCCAAACACUCAUCGAACUUCAUGUGAGAAAGAAACUUCUCUGUGCAAAGCAUAUUUCACACAUCUGCUACCCGUCUACCGUGGGUGGGCGAGGAGGUCUGCUCAUCACGGUUACCCAGAGACCCGGGCUGAUGAACGUUCCAUCUGGACACAACGCUUCCAGAAUUGCCGAGCCAAGGAAUAGAAAAAUAUGUCGGACCGCAUGCUGGCGUUUAAACAGUUAUUGUUUUUUAUGAUUUGAAAGAAUGACAGACUCACAGGAAGUCGCAGAAACAGUACUGAAUUUUUAAUUGUCCACUUAGAAAACAAGCAUCUCUUCCAAAGAAAAGAAGUGCUUCAGAGGCGCCUGGGUGGCUCCGUGGGUCAAGCCUCUGCCUUCGGCUCAGGUCAUGAUCCCAGGGUCCUGCUCUCUGGGAUUGAGCACCGCAUCAGGCUCUCUGUUCCUCAGAGAGCCUGCUUCCUCCUCUCUCUCUGUCUGCCUCUACUUGUCAUCUCUGUCUGUCAAAUAAAUGAAAAGAAGUGCUUCUGAGACCCUGAACUCAGAACUUU